CGGUCCCAAAACGAAGAAAAGCUCACAUUACCAAAACAAGCCCACUCCAACAGAUCAGCCCAAUACUACAACAUGCAUACCGAAUUCUUCCGAGCAAAGCACUACCAGGUGCUUCAUUAUCAUCGGUCGGAGAUACUCAGAUGCAAGAGGAGGAGACUCCGGAGAAUGGAAACGGCAGUAGCGGUGGGUCCCAGACCCACUUGUGGUGGGCGGUGCCACGCGGCUCAGCUCGGUUGGGCCGUAAUGUCGUCCCGAAAAGCCUGCGCCGGCAACUCCUUUACGAUGCCAUUCAAGGCCUUCGCAGUUGCUUCCCUCUACAUCGGCUCCAUCGCCACCGCGGGCGUCGCUGGCAUCCGCAAGGUUCAAGUUAGCAGAGCUUUGGUGGCCACGAGGAAUCCAACGGUGUUCUGACAGAAUUCACAAAAGCGGGGGAUCUCGUAGAGCUUGGUGCAAACCUAAGAACUGGACUUGGGGUACCUCGGAGGACGACGAGGGAUGAAUGAGCUUUUAUUUUUUGGUUGAAAUAGUUUUAGGUUUCGAAAUGCAGUUUUUGUCAUAUAUAAAACCCACACCUGGGUUGGAUUUUCAUCUUUGUUCAUUUUAUUUUAAUUGAAUACUCAUUGAGAAGUAUUUAUCAUCUCUUGAGUCAUCACUUUCA
Molecule: non-coding RNA, 658 nt
Organism: Malus domestica (apple)
Lineage: Eukaryota; Viridiplantae; Streptophyta; Magnoliopsida; Rosales; Rosaceae
Source: RefSeq, a predicted model, not a curated record